This 484-nucleotide ribosomal RNA is filed under the name uncultured bacterium. RNAcentral describes it as "partial 16S ribosomal RNA". It matches the Rfam family "Bacterial small subunit ribosomal RNA", at positions 30 to 507 of the family's 1533-position model. The record is from RNAcentral.
AUUGAACGCUGGCGGCAGGCCUAACACAUGCAAGUCGAGCGGAUGAAGGGAGCUUGCUCCUGGAUUCAGCGGCGGACGGGUGAGUAAUGCCUAGGAAUCUGCCUGGUAGUGGGGGAUAACGUCCGGAAACGGGCGCUAAUACCGCAUACGUCCUGAGGGAGAAAGUGGGGGGUCUUCGGACAUCACGCUAUCAGAUGAGCCUAGGUCGGAUUAGCUAGUUGGUGGGGUAAAGGCCUACCAAGGCGACGAUCCGUAACUGGUCUGAGAGGAUGAUCAGUCACACUGGAACUUAGACACGGUCCAGACUCCUACGGGAGGCAGCAGUGGGGAAUAUUGGACAAUGGGCGAAAGCCUGAUCCAGCCAUGCCGCGUGUGUGAAGAAGGUCUUCGGAUUGUAAAGCACUUUAAGUUGGGAGGAAGGGCAGUAAGUUAAUACCUUGCUGUUUUGACGUUACCAACAGAAUAAGCACCGGCUAACUUCGUG